Oncorhynchus keta (chum salmon) is the source of this 600-nucleotide long non-coding RNA. RefSeq lists it as uncharacterized. The transcript has 3 exons. The record is from RefSeq and is a predicted model, not a curated record. Lineage: Eukaryota; Metazoa; Chordata; Actinopteri; Salmoniformes; Salmonidae.
UACCAACUCCAGAGGGUAAACUACCCACUCCAGAGGGUAAACUACCAACACCAGAGGGUAAACUACCAACUCCAGAGGGUAAACUACCAACUCCAGGGGUGUAGAGGGUAAACUACCAACUCCAGAGGGUAAACUAUCAACUCCAGGGGUAAACUACCAACUCCAGAGGGUAAACUACCAACUCCAGGGGUAAACUAUCAACUCCAGGGAUGUAGAGGGUAAACUACCAACUCCAGGGGUAAACUACCAACUCCAGGGGUAAACUAUCAACUCCAGGGAGGUAGAGGGUAAACUACCAACUCCAGGGGGUAAACUACCAACUCCAGGGGUAAACUACCAACUCCAGGGGUGUAGUGGGUAAACUACCAACUCCAGAGGGUAAACUACCAACUCCAGGUGUAAACUAUCAACUCCAGGGAUGUAGAGGGUAAACUAUCAACUCCAGGGGUGUAGAGGGUAAACUACCAACUCCAGGGGGUAAACUACCAACUCCAGGGGUGUAGUGGGUAAACUACCAACUCCAGAGGGUAAACUAUCAACUCCAGGGGUGUAAAGGGUAAACUACCAACUCCAGAGGGUAAACUACCAACUCCAGAGGGU